CGGGUCCUUUCGGCCUUCUCUGAUGCAGAUUGGGCUGGUAGCCCAGAUGACAGGCGAUCCACGGGGGGUUAUGCAGUAUUCUUUGGCCCUAAUUUGAUCGCCUGGAGUGCUCGGAAACAGGCUACUGUGUCACGUAGCAGUACUGAAGCUGAGUAUAAGGCUGUGGCUAAUGCUACUGCAGAGAUUAUUUGGGUGCAGUCUUUGCUUCAGGAGUUGGGUUUGUCUCAACCACAGCCUCCUAUUCUUUGGUGUGAUAACAUCGGUGCUACAUACCUUUCUGCAAAUCCAGUAUUUCAUGCCCGAACGAAACACAUUGAAGUUGACUAUCACUUUGUACGGGAACGUGUA
This 348-nucleotide ribosomal RNA is filed under the name Triticum aestivum (bread wheat). Its description in RNAcentral is "partial small subunit ribosomal RNA". The record is from RNAcentral. Lineage: Eukaryota; Viridiplantae; Streptophyta; Magnoliopsida; Poales; Poaceae.